Schizosaccharomyces pombe (fission yeast) is the source of this 1184-nucleotide non-coding RNA. The record is from the annotation of a GenBank genome assembly. Lineage: Eukaryota; Fungi; Ascomycota; Schizosaccharomycetes; Schizosaccharomycetales; Schizosaccharomycetaceae.
AACCUGCGCGUAACUCGUACUGACAGCACGAUGAUUCAAUUAAAAUUCUUAACAAGAGCUAUUCCUUUUCUUGUUAGACCUUCAAAAUGCGAUGAAUUUCAAGGCUAUUUAAGUAUCUGAUUUUGAUCUAUUCUUUGUGUUUUAUUUUGUAGUAAUUUUAGUUGGCGGACCAAAUAGCUUUGUAACUAAAGCAAAUCCUGACGAACUAAUAGUUUUGAAGCAUUUUAGCCUUCCAGUUUAUCAACGUGCGUUAACCUGUUAGUGUUGAUAUGUUCGAAAAAAAAAGGUGCUAGAAAAUCAUAGACUGUAGUAAUCAUGAAAAUUUGAGCAAUUUAAAAAAUAAAUAAAUAAAUUGCAUAUACACUCAUACAAAACGCGUAUACUGGAUUUAAAAUGAUACCGAUAACUUAUGUAACGUACUGGUAAACGCUCUAAAAAUCCUCUCUCUUAAGACAUAAGUACGGUUCAUUUAUUUUUAACCAUUGCAUAUUCAGCAUUUAACAGAUAGUCAAGUGUUCUUAGAGGGUCGUAAAAGGCACGUAAAUCCGCGGUGAUACCGCAUUGGUUGUUGUUCUUGUUGCAAUCCCACUUUUAAAUCGUUUGAUGAUAGCCUAAUCUAGGGCAAGUUUACGUUGAAAAGCACCACUUCUUCUAUUCUUGCAUAUAUAAAAUAUCCAGUUUUUUACCAUUCUAUAAUCUUGUCAUAAAUCGAACAAACACACCCGAAAUAAGCAAGAUUUUGCAUCUUUUUCGUGAGCUCAUUCUAGUGUGUAGAGGUUUCUAAAAAACGUUUGACACCCCCACCAUGCCUGUAAGGUGAGCUUUUAAACGAUUAAAUUAAUAGAAAUUUAGAUAAUUAUCACCUUGAUAUAACAUUUUGUGAAUGUGUUUUACAGUUAUACAGGUGUUAAAUCGAUGAGGGUUUCAUUUUCCACUCCCUUUCGUAAUACCUGUCUUUUUACAUAAUGUAUGGCUUGUCUGAUUACUUUGGCAUGAUCUACAAAUGAAGCGUUGUCUUACCCUCCAACCAACGAAAGUAUAUUUAAUAGACAACUACUUACAACAUGACUAGACGUAACGAAGCGAACAGUUGACAUGGUAAAUUUGGGUUUGUAUAUGGAAUAAAUGUACUAAACUGUAUUAACUCACUUCAAGAACUAGUGGUAGCAACAAACCUGUGAAGC